This 214-nucleotide ribosomal RNA is filed under the name uncultured bacterium. RNAcentral describes it as "partial 16S ribosomal RNA". It matches the Rfam family "Bacterial small subunit ribosomal RNA", at positions 28 to 233 of the family's 1533-position model. The record is from RNAcentral.
GACGAACGCUGGCGGCGUGCUUAACACAUGCAAGUCGAGCGACGUGCAGUUCCUUUCGGAGGGUGUAUGGAGCGGCGAACGGGUGAGUAACACGUGAGUAAUCUGCCGUUUGGCUUCGGGAAUAACUUCGGGAAAUCGGGGCUAACUGCCUGAUGUUUACUGUCUGCUGUCAAUGGUGGGUGGUGGAAAGAUUUUUGGCCAGGGGAUGAGCUCG